GACGAACGCUGGCGGCGUGCUUAACACAUGCAAGUCGAACGGAAAGGCCCUGCUUGUGUGGGGUGCUCGAGGGGCGAACGGGGGAGUAAGAGGUGAGUAACCUGCCCUAGACUUUGGGAUAAGUUCAGGAAACUGGGGCUAAUACCAGAUAGGAGCUCCUGUUGCAUGGAGGGGGGUGGAAAGUUGCUGCGGGUGGGGAUGGACGCGCGGCUAACCAGCUUGUUGGUGGGGGAGGGGCUUACCAAGUAUGUGACGGGUAGCCGGCCUGAGAGGGUGAACGGCCACAUUGGGCCUGCGAUACGGCCCAGUCUCCUACGGUAGGCAGCAGUGGGGAAUAUUGCACAAUGGGCGGACGCCUGAUGCAGCAACCCCGCGUGCGGGAUGCCGGCCUUCGGGUAGUAAACCGCUUUCGGCUGUGACGCAGCGUUUGUGACGGUAAUGGGUGAAGAAGCACCGGCUAACUACGUG
This 468-nucleotide ribosomal RNA is filed under the name uncultured bacterium. RNAcentral's name for it is "partial 16S ribosomal RNA". It matches the Rfam family "Bacterial small subunit ribosomal RNA", at positions 28 to 507 of the family's 1533-position model. The record is from RNAcentral.